RNAcentral lists this transfer RNA (57 nucleotides) under Timmia sibirica. RNAcentral describes it as "tRNA-Leu". The record is from RNAcentral. Lineage: Eukaryota; Viridiplantae; Streptophyta; Bryopsida; Timmiales; Timmiaceae.
AGAAAAUCCGUUGGCUUUAGUGACCGUGAGGGUUCAAGUCCCUCUACCCCCAACCCC